GCUGAAGUAGCACUCAUGCGAGCUCCUUUAGCUGGACUUGGAGACAAAGGCUGACUUAGUUGGGGCUGUGUGGGGAUAUUAACUCUACCAAUUCCCCUCGGUGGAGCAUCAGCAACAGAUGAGGUUGGUUUACGGGAAGGUAAGGUUGUUGCAUCUUCUUCCUUGGCCGCCACUGGAGACAAACUUCCCAUGCUUUCUGAGGAAGUCUGAACAGGAAUGGAAGUUGAUAAAGCAACUGGUGCAUUUGGAACACUACUGACGGGCACAUUCAAACUUGGACGUUCCCCAACGGGUGUUGAUGGUGCUGAGUGAAGGGCCCCAUUCUUUUGGGGAGGGGUUUUUGGAAGUGUCUCAGAAUUGCUAUCCGGUAAAGUUGUAUCGUCAGUCUUCUCUUGAGAAGUGCUCUGAUGGUGUGUUGGCAAACUUAUGCUCUGAAACAAAGCCAAAAAUAAAGAAACAUAAACAAAAAGUUCUUAAAACAAAAGGAUAUAGGAAUACUUACCCGAACUUGAGAUGCUGACGCUGCCACAGAACUCUUCAUGCUCAGAGGAGUACCCUGAAAAAAUUUAAGUCGUGUUACUGCUAAUAUAACGCCAAAUGUCCUGAAUUUAUCCCUUUCAAAACGAUUCCUCAAUUUGUGACAGAUACAGCAUUUCAUGUUUCCGGAGAGAGAGAAAGCAAAUAGAAAAUUUGAAAGAAAAAGUUACCUUGACGAGGGGGCCAGCAGUUACUAGAUCUUCAAGACCCUCCACCUCAUCUAGUGGCAACGUGCUAUAGAGCUCAUCAACAUCACUGAAUUCGUCAAAAUCAUCCUACAUAAUCCAGGAGAAAUAUUAGCCUACUGAUAAAAUUGGAAACCCACAGUAAAUCAUAUGAACACACAUCUAAGCAAAAUAUUCCAGGUUAUAGAUAACGCAGACCUGAUUUCGUUCAACAUAAUCAUCCAGAAAAUCUUUGACGUCAUUUACUUGUUCUGGACUUAAUUCAUCAUUGUCCAGAAGCCUCAAUAUCAAUUCCAACUUUAUUAUAUGAUCCUUGUGUCUUGUGAUAGAUGUCUCGAGAUGUGUCUAAAAAACAAAACAGAUAUUUGACAAAAUUUACCACAAGGAAGGAAUUAUAGCAUUAGCAUACCGAUGAAUAUUUUACAGAGCUUACCAAUCUGGGCGGCCUUGACUUUCCUUUUUUGACAGAUAGUCCUUCCAACUCAGCUUCAAAGCUAUCAAUCUGCGACUCGAGUUCACUCACCUAUCAAAAGCAAGAAAAUGAGCAGUGAAUCAGCUACAGAAAUGAUUUAUGAUUGACAAUCCGUAAGGAUCUCACCACCUAGUUUCCAUAGCAGAUCAACCUUAUUAGCCUAGGGGUUUGAUAAACACCACUAACAUAAAUUCGCUUUGACGUUUCUCUUAAGGGGUUCAAGAAUAAGAAAUUAAGCAUGGAGGCGCCAGUAACUUACCACAUUGUUCAACCAAUCUCUUGUUUCUGACUUUGCUUUCUCUUUGGGGUCCUAUUAAACAUGAAGCAGAAACAAUCAGUAGCCUGACUACCAAAAAGAGGUUUAAGUAAUAUGUAAAUCCACCCAAAGUAGUUCCAACAGAUUUCACAAAACCAGAAAUGUUUUGAUUAUCAAUGACAUUGUUAGAAGGAAAAAUAGUUCAUAUCUACAAACACUUAAAUAUCACAUUUAAUUUAGAUGAAGAAUAAAUAAAUCAAAGGAAACACAACGUUUUGGAGAAACUCUUACAGUUUUAGGUUGCUGACCCAGUCCUUCCUUAGAGAAUGCUUUUGUCUUGGUCUCUUUCUCACAUAUUUUAAACCUCUCCAUUUCUCGCUCAAUGAGCUUCCGAGCGUCAACCAGGGAUUGCUCAUAUGAUGCACUCACCUAAAUCAAAUGACAGACAAAAAAAUCUGGCUUAGUUCAAUCUAGAACAAACGGGUAGUAAGAUUCCUUCAAAAGGUGUAGAAGAUGAAGGAAGAACACUGACUUUUUUAUCUUUGAUCUCACUAGACUGAAUCCAAGUCUUGAUCUGGUCCCUAUACCGCUGCAGCUUCUUAAUCUCCUUCUUCAAGUCAGCCUCAAACUUUUCCUUUUGGUUAACAUUAUCCGUAUCAUAGACCUGAAACACACCAAAAAAGAGCCCGGGUUGGUUGGUUUGUCCUCUGUCCAAGUAAUAAAACUUUAUUCUGCGUGUCGAAAACAAACACUCUGCUCACAUUCCACUGCAUAAAACAACAAACAUGGAGCUCCCAUUUUUGAGUUCCACUGACCAAAACAACUUUACUCACAAACAAACAAACAAAAAUUAAUGUUUCAAUCGCAUCAAAACCAUUCCAUUGCUUUAAAUGCAAACAAUCAUCUCGAACACUCCUUCAGUAAACUCAAUCCUAUAUUUCGAAGCUAUAUACUAUAGAUCUUCCUGCAUUAUCCAUAUCAUUCGAAUUCAAAUAUGAAACGAUAGGAGGUGAUCGAGGCCCAGGGAAAAGCUCUACCUUGUUCCAGAUGCUGUCGAAGACAUCAACACCUUCCUGAACCUUCUUCAGCACCCGAUCUAUCUCGCCUUGUAGCUUCCGACUCGCUCCCAUUACAGCUCAGCCAGAGAAGUAUUAGGGUUUCCUCUGAUUCGAUUGGUGAAUAGAAGUUAGGGUUUCACUUUCAGAGGAAGACGAUGAUGAUUGUGUAACACUAUCGAUGAAUUGAUUGGAUGUAAAGGAUGAUGUAAUAAUAAGAAAGAGUUGAAGUAUACGUGUUAGAUAUUGACGGCCCAAUCUAUAAGUUUUUAGUGGGCUUUUUUAUUAUCAUAUUUACCCCUCUUAUUUUUAUUUCUUUCUGAAUGACACCCUCAGUUUUUGUUCUUUUCAAUUAUUCACUAGAGAACUCAAGUUUUCCCCAAAUGUGAAGAAGUCUAGCCAUGUUUCUUGAAUAAAUUACUGAUCAUUUAGAAAAAAUAGAAAUUAGUUUUAAUUUAGUGAUGACUUAGAACAUCUUUAACGCAAGGUUCUUCCCCAAAAUUUUCAUCCUUUAAAAAAUAAAAUUAAUUAUAAAAUAGGAGAAAGAGUAAAGAUAAGUUUUUGUUUUACACUUUUUUAGAUAUUUUGAAUAACGGAUUUUACGACUCUCUUGAAAAUUAAAGUGUUAAUGUUCAGAAAAAAACUGAAAAUGGACAUACAAAUAAAAUAGUAAUAAUUCUAUUUUUUUUUUAAACUAUUACAGUACAUAUCUGUUAAAGGUGCUCUUACGAUGUACUCAAAUACUCACAAAUUUUGUUUCAUGGGGUGUUUAAUGACUUUCAAAAAAAAAUAUGAACAAAACAAAGCAAAAGUUUAACAACAGCCCAUACAUACAAGAUACAACAGCAUAUUUAAUGCAAAGUUUUGUAUAUCUUUUUCAUGUGAAUUCAAUUUACAGAAUUGUAAUGCUUAGGCGGGCCAACAAAAUUAUUGUGGGUAAAAUCAAAAUUCUACAAAACUUUCAGGGACGCAAAAAUUAUGGUGGACUUCGUCUUGUCCAAAAACAGAGGAAGAAGCAAAACAGAGAGCAGAAACCCUUCACGACCCGAAAGCAGCUUCUUGGACUCUUCUUCUUCUUCCUACUAAGAAAAAAUGGUGGAUUCAAACCAUGAGACCGAGAUCAGAUGCCACCAUUGCGCAGGCUCACUUACGAAAAAUUUGGUAUUUUACGCAUCCAGCAUCAAUCUGUAUUACACAGAUCUAUACUGAAGAUGAUUAAUGAUUCUGAUUGAUUUCAGGAAACGAGUGAAUGGACUGUGUCUCCGUUCAUCAGGGACAGCUUUUCUAUGGUAAGUUUUGUUUGAUGAUCAAGUUCCGACUCUUUUAGUCUAACUAUAGCUUUGCUGCAAUUGUCAACAAGUUUGGUCCUUUGACGUUGAGAACUCAAACUUUCCUUUCUGGCAUGAUCUACAUCUGCAAAAACAUCAAGAACAUGUCUCUUACUUUUUCGUCUGCAUUUUCAAGAUAUUGAAACCAAAAACUGAGCUCCAACAACUCUAGGGGGGUUUAAUUAACUGCCAAUAGAUUAGAAAAGACAAUCUCUUAUUAUGAUGCAAUACUUUGGGUAUCAUAAAUCAUGUGAUUGUACCACAAAAUUUAAAAUAAUCGCGCUCAAGACCUGGCAAGUACACAACCUAUAAAAAAAACGCUACCUGCUGUAAAAGCGGAUUUUGCUGUUGUGAAGAAAACUGCUUCUCGUUUCUUUCGGAUAGAGAAGCCAUGCCUAAGAGGUUACCAUGGCCUUGUCGUACUUGCUGGUACCGCUGUAAGAAUUUCUCCCUUUGAUCUGGUGAUAUUUCAGUUCUUCCACGGACCAAGAAGUGAAACCACAAACCAUAACAUUGUUCAGACUACCCACUUAUAUAGUGCAAAGGUCCUACAGAACCUAUAAAAAAAACGCUACCUGCAGUAAAAGCGGAUUUUGCUGUUGUGAAGAAAACUGCUUCUCGUUUCUUUCGGAUAGUACUUGCUGGUACCGCUGUAAGAAUUUCUCCCUUUGAUCUGGUGAUAUUUCAGUUCUUCCACGGACCUAGAAGUGAAACCACAAACCAUAACAUUAUUCAGACUACCAACUUAUAUAGUGCAAAGGUCCUACAGAUCCUUGGUAUUAUAGUCGAAUUCAAAACACGCACCGUUUCAUUCUGACUCUGAAAGGGACUCCCAGGCCUCCACUGCAAACCAGAUACAAUAGACGGUGAAUAAGCUCUACCGAUGCUUGCCGCAACAUCACCAGGGUUACCAUCAGAGAUAGUUCCAUCAUUACCCUUCGCAGCUGGUGGUAGUACCAUUUUGCUGAGCGGAGAGGUUAGAGGUUGGACAUUGCUCUCAACUCCCAUUAUUUUUCUCUUUGCAAUUUCAGCUGCUGAAGAAGUCGCACCAGUGCCGUUAGCUGCACUUGGAGACAAAGGCUGACUCAGUUGAGGCUGGGUGGGGAAAUUAACUCUACCAAUGCCCCUCGGUGGAGCAUCAGCAACAGAUGAGGUUGGUUUACGGGAAGGCAAGGUUGUUGCAUCUUCUUCCUUGGCCGCCACUGUAGACAAACUUCCCAUCCUUUCUGUGGAAGUCUGAACAGGAACGGAAGUUGAUAAAGCAACUGGUGCAUUAGGAACACUACUGACAGG
This 5126-nucleotide long non-coding RNA is filed under the name Brassica napus (rape). RNAcentral's name for it is "long non-coding RNA (BNAP_LNC002057)". Lineage: Eukaryota; Viridiplantae; Streptophyta; Magnoliopsida; Brassicales; Brassicaceae. The record is from RNAcentral.